CUUACAUUUAACAAACCAUUUUAUUGCAGACGACUUCGAUCGGGACAACAUUGAGGUGACAUUUAUGAUAGAGGAAACAAGAUCGACUGUGAUGUUAGAUCCUGGCGUUUCAAAUAUCUUGCUGGCUCCAGGUCCAAGUAAAGAAGUUGUUCUCACGAUGAAGAAGGUUUCCUCAUUGGCUUUGGUGUAACACAUUAGCGGACAAGUUCUAACUCUUUCGGCAAUAUUUGUUAAUCAAAUCAUCACACGUAUAUUGUCGUCAUUUCUGACGUAACUGUCAUCUUAAGCGUAUUAACUAUUUAUAUUGUUGUAUAAACCCAAAUAAAGAUAUUGUUUAAAUAAUUUG
Ruditapes philippinarum (Manila clam) is the source of this 346-nucleotide long non-coding RNA. RefSeq lists it as uncharacterized. The record is from RefSeq and is a predicted model, not a curated record. The transcript is spliced from 2 exons. NCBI's taxonomy places the organism in Eukaryota, Metazoa, Mollusca, Bivalvia, Venerida, Veneridae.